UACAGAAAUGUGUCUGCACUCUGGGA
This 26-nucleotide non-coding RNA is filed under the name Homo sapiens (human). Lineage: Eukaryota; Metazoa; Chordata; Mammalia; Primates; Hominidae. The record is from RNAcentral.